AGUGAACGCUGGCGGUAGGCCUAACACAUGCAAGUCGAACGGCAGCACAGAGGAGCUUGCUCCUUGGGUGGCGAGUGGCGGACGGGUGAGGAAUACAUCGGAAUCUACUCUGUCGUGGGGGAUAACGUAGGGAAACUUACGCUAAUACCGCAUACGACCUACGGGUGAAAGCAGGGGAUCUUCGGACCUUGCGCGAUUGAAUGAGCCGAUGUCGGAUUAGCUAGUUGGCGGGGUAAAGGCCCACCAAGGCGACGAUCCGUAGCUGGUCUGAGAGGAGGGUCGGCCACACUGGAACUGAGACACGGUCCAGACUCCUACGGGAGGCAGCAGUGGGGAAUAUUGGACAAUGGGCGCAAGCCUGAUCCAGCCAUACCGCGUGGGUGAAGAAGGCCUUCGGGUUGUAAAGCCCUUUUGUUGGGAAAGAAAUCCAUCUGGUUAAUACCCGGGUGGGAUGACGGUACCCAAAGGAUAAGCACCGGCUAACUUCGUGCCAGCCGCCGCUGUAA
Molecule: ribosomal RNA, 506 nt
Filed under: uncultured bacterium
Lineage: Bacteria
Description: partial 16S ribosomal RNA
Rfam family: Bacterial small subunit ribosomal RNA
Source: RNAcentral